UCAAAGGGGCUGCGUCAGGAUAACUCAGGGUGUUCCUUCCAUGAUUUAGUGUUUCUGCUAUAACUUUAGUAAAAUGUGUUGAUCUUUCCACAUAGUCCCAAAAAAAAGAGAAAAACAUAGCAGCCCUUUUUUCUGAACAUAAUGUACAUUUAAGCAAUAAUGCAUCUCAAAAGCUGAAAAUAGAUGGCCCGAUCAAUCAGCCAGAGAGUGGAAUCAGCCCCUCUGAAUUUUAUUUGUAUCUGAUCAAGGAUGGCAUUUCUACACUGACGACGUGUGAGAACGCUGAAGUAUUCAAAUAUUUCUACUUUUCAAGCUUCAAAAACCAGACAUGUGAAGUGUUCUUAAUUUUUGUUUUUCUGCUUAUGCAUGCCUGGAAAUUGAUGGAAUAAAUUUAAUUUCCUGACUUCCUCUCUUUCUGAUUAUACAGGCAAAUAAAAAAAAAAUAGCAUUUUCCCCUUUAUCCAUCAUGUGCAUCAAACCAAGACUACUAAGCACUGCCACUGUAUUCGCACUAUAAACAUGAAACCUCAGCAUGAACUUCAUGUUUGAGUCUAAUCAACAUCAGAUACCCGUCAGGUAAAUGUGCUUUAAUGUAUAGAGAUAAUCAUAAGAGUUUUUGAUUUUUUGUUUGCUAUCAUAGGACCUUGACACAGCUUCCUCUCUUGUAUAUUCUGCUCCUUAAAAUGAAUCAGUAAUGAGAAGUCAGACCCUAAAGAAAACCACCACCUCUGCUGAAAUACUCCUAAUCUGGUGGGAAUCCCCAACUCGGGGGUUUUGUUUAUGACAUCUACAUCUUUGCAUGGUUCAGAAAAAUGUAAUUAUAUAAGCAAAUUCUCCGGUUUGGUGGUUUGAACUUCCAAUAGAGACAUGCCUUUCAAAGGACUGCGCAAGCUGCUUUAGAGAAGAAGGUGACGCAAAAAACGUUUCUAACCUGCUCUGCAGCGAGAGACGAGCGAGGGGCUUGGAGCUGAAGCAAUCAUGAACUUCGUAUGUUAGGCAGCGUGUCUAAAUUAAAGAAGAGGAAGUGUCAAGUGUCACAGCACAGUGGGUUUAAAUGGAUGCAUCAUCGUCAAGAGGAGUUUUAAAAGGACAACAGGAGAAGGAUUUCUCCAGAACUUCAAACGGAUUCCCAUUUCAUCGGUUCCCCCAGCCUCACAUCCCAGGCAGGCGGCCUCUCAUUCACCACAGCCGCGUCUUCAAAGAAAUCUCCGCAAGAUCAUUUCCCUUAUCAGCAAUAAAUAAAUCAGCCAGGCAUUAAAAGUGUUUAAUUCGCUUCUGAAUCAAGCACUAAAAAUAUGUGCUUUAAUAUGCGUUUUCACAUAAAAAACACUGAAUGCAUCUCGUCACCCAGCUUUCCUUUUUCUUUGCUGGGUUCUAAAUAGUAUGUAUGGCUGAGCUCUGCGUGCGGUCUGCAUGCAAACGUAUUCAGGGCUGUGAAUGCAACCAGAGUUAAAGUGCUUCAUCAUCCCCGUGUUAUCUGCCUCAGAUCGUGUUCCUCAGAUUAGACUCAUCGGGUCAGUGAAUACUGUCUGCGGUAAAUCAGUUGUGUGAUAUUUGUGGAUUGGCUACAACUCGCCACCUCGUGUUGACACCUUUCACCUGACCGCGCCAAAGUCUGCAGCGCUACAGAGGAGCAACACAGGGCUUCAGGAGCGAAGGGGAAGACAGAGAGGACACUGUAUUUAUUAGUAUUUACCAGGAAGUAUAACGGAGACAGAACCGCUGGAAGACUUUCACACCAGCAGAGGGGGAUGAAGAGGAGGGCCGACCCAGUCAGAGGGAGAAGAGAGGCAGACAACCAGACGGACAGAGGGUGGCCUGUGAAUUCCAGCCAGAGGAAAAGACCAUUGUUUGUUUUCCCUUGACAGGGGCCCUCUGUAAUCAGUAGGCUAGGUAAAAAAAAAGGCUAUAGGGAUUUAAAAUGUCAUCAUUAUCUUGUCCAUUUACCAAUCUUAAAUCAUUCAGCAGAUAUGAAGACUUAUCUCCUUCAAGAAGGAAUUGUUGUUUACAGAUGAGGCGAACGCCGGGAGUCGUUAUAUGCCAAAACUCUUCCUGACAUGGACUUUUACUGACUGUGAAUCUGGGCGAGGGGGGGAAAGCCCCAAUGAGCCCGAGCCAGAGCAACGGCAGAGGGCCCGGGCUGCGAGGGAGCGGCUUUCACCUUUCACCACGCAGGUCCACGGCAGCAGAGAGGGAGGCCUAUUGAUUUUAUUACGCGUUCAGUUGACAGGGUUCCUGCACGUUUUGCACGUCUUAGUUCCAUGGGGUUCCUCACUCAAAUGAGCAAUUAGUUCUCAGGCUUAAUUACAAAAGUUCACUACGCUGAUAUUUCCACUGAGGUCCGGUCGGUAAGCAAGGUCUGCAAAAAACUGCUGAGUGGAGAGAAGGAGGGAGGGGAUCAAGGAAGGAAGGAGGCAGAGGCAGCGAGGAAAGGAAGAAAAGAAGUAAGGAUGCACCAAAGGAUGGAACGUAAGCAAGUAUAAAAGGAAGAAGAAAAAAGCUGAAAAUAAGAAAGGAUAGAGCAAAAAUUGAAUAAAUUAUCAGAUUCCAUGCUUUUCCAGACUGCAUAUGAACCCUGAGUAACCAUAGAAAACCUACAAAACAAAUUAUGGAACAAGGUAAGUAAAUAAAAAAAAAAAAAA
Molecule: long non-coding RNA, 2642 nt
Organism: Fundulus heteroclitus (mummichog)
Lineage: Eukaryota; Metazoa; Chordata; Actinopteri; Cyprinodontiformes; Fundulidae
Exons: 2
Source: RefSeq, a predicted model, not a curated record